UUUUUUUUUUUUUGCUCUAAUGCAUUGCUGCGUGACAGCCAUUUAUCGUCCUCCUCUGUGACAUUUACUGGGUGCAACGACACUCAUAGGACACAUUUAGAUCCGUCUCAUCCGCAUGCGCCGCUCCAAACAUCAAUCUGGGAAUUGUCUCGAAGCUUUGGGGCGAUAAACCUCAUCGGGUACGGUUAUUUGUUAAAAUAUAGACCUUGUCCUUCUAUAGUAUGUUUUCUUCUAUGUGGGUAAUCAAGAAAAGCUUGUAUGGCCAUUGAAUGAAUUCAUCAAAUGUUGUGUUUGUUUAACAAUGAGCUGGCUGAACGGUUAAGGUGCCACUGCUGCCAGAGAAGUUGAUUUGUGAGACGCAAAUGGGGAAUGGGAAAGGACAUAAGAAACAUCCAUAAAACCAUUGGUGAUGUCAAAAACCUCUCACUUUUCCACAUUCCUGGGAUGCUUAUUAAAUAAUUAUUUGCUGUACAUAUGUAUUAUGCUCCUGCGUGUCUCACAAAGUCCAUCAUUAGCUUACUAUCAAGAGCAGACCCAUCACAAAUUUGAACCCAUCUUCCCCUCUCUUUUCCCUUUGUGAGCAUUCCGUCCACGUCAGCGUUAAUGAGUGCGUUCUAUAGUUGCUAGCUGCUCGCACAUUCUCAUCUACUUGUUAUGCAGUAAUGAAUCAGACUCUCUUAUGAGUGCACUGUGGCAUGCUGAGAAGAAACUGUGGAGGCUACUUAGAGGCACAUCUCGGUUGGGUGGAUCAUGAUGUCAGCUCUGUUAGCAGAUGCAUUAUUUUCUUUUUUCUCGCUUUUGCUCACACAUGUGUUCCUUACGCGUUGUGACUGAUUACUAAUUUUGUUUUUAACCAACAUGGCUAAUUCAGGUCUUUAGUUCUAGUAGCCCCAACAUAGCAAUGCUGCCCCCUAGUGCAUGCAGCAAUCGACACCCAGCUUAAAAUAUAUCUGGAUCUGUGGUUUGGCCUAUAAAAUAAAGACGCCCCUUUUCAAUAUAGUUUGAAUUAAAUUCCAAACUGUUUGACAUGAUUGGUUUGUACAAUUUGCAUUAUGCAAAAGAGACAUUCCAGUUCUGCUUGCACUCUACAGGGAGAAAGAAAAGAGUAAGACAGUGUCGUUACCUGAGUCAGCGUGGCUGUGAUUUUGCAGCUUUGGAUGUGUAGCUGGCACCAAUCCAAGAGCAUGCCAUGCCUUCCAUUCUUCAAAGUGCAUUUAUAUUACUAGCACUCUUGGCAGGCAAGCCUCUCUGGCGGUUAAAGCUGAAGCGCCUCCCAGACUGACGAUGAUUACGAUGGCCAUAACAUAAAAACUGUUAUUGGCCUUGUUUGGUGAUGGUUAUUACAAGUGUAUCUAAAAACCCACACAUACAUCUCCCUCCAAGCCACUUCUUCGGGGCUGUAGCCGCAUAUACGCACUAAUGAAUAGGUGAUUUCAGUGAUUCGACAUGUGUCAUAAAUAUUAAAUGGCUCACUGCCCUUGGUUACCUUUCCUGCCAGCCACAGCCGUUGUCAUGUAUACCGGAGCUGUUGAGCUUUUUACUUAUUGACAGAGGAGACGGUAGGGGACGUUUCAAAGAGAAACGCCUCCAAGGAGUUCAGAUCUCUGUGGUAAGAUAGUUCUUUAUAAUGUUACACAAGUAAUGUAUCUGUUGAGGGCAUAACCUAUGUACUGCAUUUUUUUGUGACUUGUGUUGGUAGGUGACAACAGAUGAUUACAAUAAAGACUUUAAGACUGAUUCAAUAAUAACUUACAACAUUAAUUUGUUUUUUAUUACGUAGUAUUUUGUAAUUAAUGACAUAUAUACCACAUAAAUGGAAUUCAUUAUUUUUAAUUACAUGUAUUUAACUUUCACUACACUACUGCUCUCUGCUUGUCAUCCAGCAGAGAGCAUCUUGAAAGUCGCAAAUAGACGACUGUCUGCCAUUCCAAAGAGGAUAACACUUAUCAGUGGAGACAGUCUUUAACUAAGCAGCCAAAGGUGUGAAAAUGAGCAACUAAAUGAGCGUGAAGGAGGGUGUUGAUGGAAAAAAGAGCAUAUGUGUUCACGAGAUUACUAAAAUUAGGCUCAAAAUAACAAUGUUCCACACAAUGGUUUACUCCGACUGCCUUACCUUAAAUCUGCUUGUUGUUUCAUGAGCAGUUCCCUGACUUCUAAAGAUAAAGCUAUAACUUAUUGUUCCCCUUAAUACGCAAUCAGCCCAUUUUGCCGAGCAAAGGCAGGCGGACAAAUUAAUUUGAUAUCUAAGAAAAUUGGUGGGAAUAAUCUGUUCCCGUUUAGAUUGUGGCAUUGAGUCCCUAUCCGGUGGAGGUGAGGUUUGCCUUUGUUAUAUUAUUGCCUGCCAAGCCAUACAGUUUACUUUAGAUCCCGCACAAUAAGCAACAAUACAAACACUCCCCAACACUUCUCACGGCUGGGAGGCCGAAGCUGUAAAAUGCCCAGAUUGAUAGAGCAAUGUUCAAUUCCUCCCCCGAGUUAGAAGGGCAAACUCCUGUGGCGCUCCUACAUCAAGCAGGCCUUCCCUGUGAAUCGGACCUGGAGAUAAACUUUCCCAGACAGCAAUGCCUCAUCAGUGGCAGCAGCAACGGGGCCCUCUUUUAUUGCCAGGGAACCAAUGUUGGACAAUUAACGGCUCACCAUGGUCCCUAGCACAAAAUACUAGAAUGGCCAGGUAAGCACGGCCUCUGUCUUUCACUUUCCCCGUGCUUGCCCAAUUCCCUUUCCCCAACGCACUACCACCACCACUAACUCUUCUAUCCCCAAACCGCAAGCCCCGGGCCUCGCUGCAAUGCAUCUCUCCUUGCACUCUGCUCUAUAAAUUGCCAACAGCACGAAAAGGCAGAUACAAAUAAAGGUGAUUUAGCCCAAAGAGAUGCUGAGCGAUUGCUCUCAUUAGUCCGGAGUGGAGACCAAAGUCGAGACUUAACUGAGAGGGAUUCCUGGCCAUUAGUGCCAUGGCAGCAGCUGUAUUGAUAGGUUUUUAAUAAGACGCUACAUUAAUGGUUAUCAUGAGUGAGUGGGUUUAUGGUAAUGAGAAAAGGCAGAGGAGGGGAUAGGGUCUCAAAUGUGUCUUCUGUCAAAUUCAGUCUCAGCUCGGCCGCUGCUGCCAGCAGCUUAAGCGUGAACCUUUGCAGGUUGACAAUCUGUGCAACACAAUCUCCCUCCACGGUCUGCAUAUAGAGAAUGGAGAUUUUUGUCUCUUUUUUUAGUCACAAAUUGAGUGACGUGAAUAUGGAAAUGGGAGGGAGGGGUGUCAGUGAUGAACGGCGCCAGAGGGAUGUCUCCUGUGUGCACAAAAGUCUUCAUUUCCUCCUAUUAAUCAGUUGGACUAAUUCUUCCCUUGUUCCAUUUUUAACCCUACAGUGUCACUGCCUCCAGUUGCUCUAAUUGAAAUAUUAGCAGCCGGUUAACUAAAUGAAGACAAUUUAAUCAGUCCCCUUUUCAGGCCCUCCCAGUCUUUGUAUUUUUUUUUCCUUUUUCCCCAUGCGACAAUGUGAUCUUUCUAUUAAAGAGAAUAAGUUGAGAGAUCAAUUUAGUGAUUUUUUUUAUUUUAACUAAGCUGACAACUGUAUUGUCGGAGAAGCAGAUUCUAACAUUGUUUGAAUGAUAAGCUUGCCAAAGAGAGUCUUUUUCGUACUCUGGCAGUUUCACUGUUCACCUGUAGAGAUCCAGAAAAAGAUGAGUAUGCUGUGCACCGUAGCCGGCAACAAGGCCAAUGAAAUUGAAAUGGUCCCAUUCUUUCCAAAGCAAAUCUUAACUUUCAAAACAUACCCUAAUUCAAUAGAUUCAAAAUUAGUCUGACAGAGGUUAUUAAAUCAGUUUCAGUGAGGAAAAUAUAUGCUCCACACCUUUCCGGCUCGCAAGCUACUUUUCAACUAACCAAGUCAGACGAUCUAUCCCCUCCCCGCUGGCUGACGGGGGGGACCGGCCGGUAAAUAGUAGUGGUGACGAGCUCCAACAGCGCCUAACGAGUCAAUAUGAAGAAAACAACGAGCUGUCAGAAGGAGGAAACCGUCACAAGCAUCACGCAAAUUAAAUGCGUCCGUUAGUAAGCUAGGAUUGCUAAUAAGCAUUAGCAUUAGUUUCGGUCACCUCCCACGGUAGACCGCGCAUGCGUUACGUGACGUCCUUCGCAAUCGACCUAUUGGGCACAUCUGCGGUAGAGCAUUGUUUCUGACAAAUUAUUGUAACGUGGUUGGUUCUUAGGGGGUCCCAAGUGGACGACGUACACAAGCGUUGGAUUGUAAUCAGUUUUAUUCUACACCUUGCCAGAUCCCUCGCCUCACUUCUUCUCUCUCUCCUCGCCGGAUUGCCACUGCUGCUUAAGUAGAAGGGGAGACAAACAAUUCAAGCCAUUGAAUACAGCUGAGGCAAAUUAAGCCUCCACCUGGUGUGGCGCAUGGAGUAGAGGGUAGAGGGUGCGCUGUGAAGGGUUGUUGGUUCGUACCCCGGCUGCUCCAUGUCCCGCACCGAAGUGGCCCUGAGCAAGACACCUAACCCCUAACUGCUCCCUGGGCGCCUUUCGGGCAGCACACUGCUCCCACUGUGUGGAAUGGCUUAAAUGCAGAGAAGCAUUUCGUUGUCUCAGUACCCUGUACUUCUUCUUCUCUGCAGCAGAGCCAAACCACACCAGACACCACAAUUAUUUCUUGACACACUUUCUUAUUUUCAUUUGAACAUCUGAACUAAAAAUACAUUCCAACUAAAUUAUAAUCAGAGAGGAAGAAUAUACGUAGUGUCUGCUAUGGUAAAGAAGUAAACAGUUUUAGUUUAUAGUUUGGAGUUAGGCUUUGGUAUUGUUAGGAUUCUAAUGAUCUUAUCAAUGGUGCUGCUUAUUCAGACUGAUACUAAUGAAUAGUCAAAUCAAUACUCCACUGAUGUGUGGAGUUGAACCAAAACAGUGGUUCCCAAACUAUUUAGGCCACACACACCCUUCUCCAUCCCAACUGGGUUCACCCACAAUCCCCAACAAACCAAAAAGACACAGUCUGUUUAUAGCUGCAUUUAAAUUGGACCAAUGACAGAACAGUUUGUUCACGUGUGGUGUUUGCAGCGUCGGAAAUACACAAGGGCAAAGGGCAAAAUUGCUCCUAAGAAAUAUAAUUUUGCCCCUGAAAUCAUGAGGAAAGGGGCAGAAAAUGCCCCCAUAAUUUCCUCCAACAAUAAUUAUAAUUUAGUUAACUUGACAAAAACAUACAACAAACAAAACCAUUAACAACUUGGUCCAGCUGCCAUAGAAUGUUUUGAUUCUCGCCUUGACGGAUGUCGCAUGUGCGGAAAGAAUCAAACUUUCUUAAAGGAGUGCUUCUUGAUCAGGCCUCAUCAGUGCGUGGCGAGCAAAUCCAGUGUCCGUCACCGUCUCGGGUUCAAAAGAAAAAAUCCACGUGACCAUCGAAAAAGAGAGAUUAGCUUGCGGUGGAGGAAGACCCCACAAGAAUCACCCGCAUUUUUUGCAAGGUUCUCGAGGGACUGUUGAAUGUUUUGUUAUUUGCUUUUACAGAAGCAUCAGAUGCAGAAGACAGCGUUCUGCAAAAUAAUCAAGCUGUUUGACAUUGCUUCACAUAUCAAAUAAAAUUGAAUGAGUCUGAUUUAUGUUUUCUGUUCAUUUUUGUUCAAAAUAAUCUAAGAAACACUUUGAAUCUGUAGAUUACUGCCUAGAUGUCGUAUUACUGUCAUUUGAUGAGAAAUGCAUAUACAGGAAGCCCAAAUAAGUAUAUUUGUUAUAUUUAACCGGGGUUUGAUGCUAUUUCACAAUUUUCAAAAAAUGCCCCCAAUUUCUUAUAAAUUGCCCUCUAAAUAAUAUGUACAUUGUAUCGUAUUAAUCUCAAAUCAGAAGGAAGCAAAUAAACUACAGGUGUAAAAAUGCCCUGUAACACUACAACGAAGUUUCAAUAUUUUGAAAAUCUGUCACUAUUAAACAGAAAUGACGGUGAGGACACGUGUACAGGCUCAAAAGCAGAUUACAUCACAUUUAAUUUACAAUUAACCAUAAAUAGUAAAUACGUUAUUUCAAAUAAAAAAUAUAAAGUUACACAUCACGACUGAUUGUCAGAGGUAGGAGAAUUUUAAAUUAUUUACACAGUAAACCCAUUAAAGAAGAAAUAGUGGCCCAUGUAUAGUCUCAAAAAGAUAGAAAUGAAGAGGAGUCCAUCUGAGGAUUUCACAUACAGCGCAGGGGGCUCAGGCUGCAGCAAGAGAGAAAGAGACGGACGGGUAACAAGUAAUAUGUGAGUAUUGUCUCUCUUUUUCUAUCGCCUCCAUUUCCUCCAUCUCCCUCUGUCCCUCUCUUUCAUGACUGAGCUUCAGAUGUCCACCUGACAGUUUCCCCGAUUUUAGCCAGUUCAGCAUAUUUGUAUGAAUGUUGCUGAAUGAACUUAGCUGUUAGCUGAUGUUAGCUGCACAAACUAAGCUAACGUUAACGUUAUGUGUACAUAAAAAAGUGCAUUUAUUAUUUAUUUAUUAAAAUAAGUUUUUAAUUUUAAAUUCUUACAAAAUAUAUUUUUAUGAUUCAUGUUUAUAUUUUGUUUAAAAACCCUAUUGAUUAAUGUUAGUGGUCUAACGGAGUAACAACUAUUACAUUUAUCCUCUUGCGCCCCCCUAGAGGCCGCUCGCGCACCUCAGUUAGGGACAGAACUAAAAGAUACUGAUCCAGUAUAAUACUCAACAAUCCAGUAUUAUUAACUGGUACCACUGAUUCACUUGAAAUUAAGAGACAUAAUUGCAUUCAUAUUUACCACUGGAAGGGUGGAAACAAAGUAAGGCUUUUGGGGCCUAAAUGAAAAGCUAACCUUUAUUCUCAUAAAAUAACUACUGCCAUUGGUUUAAGAUAUUUACAAUGUAAAAUAUCUUGUUAUUUCAUGACUGUUUCCCCAACUUAUGCAUUACAUGUCAUAUUUUAACCAGACACAUUGUCCUACCUCACUGAUGUUGAGCCUGAAGAGAGAAAGAGAAGUUCUGCUUUAUUCUUUCCUCAGCACAGCUGGUCAAUCACGGCGCCAAGUGGUCAAGCUCGUCGCCUUCUUGGUUUCGGAUAUUUAGCCUCCACCCGUCAGGGGAUUUGAUUUCAAACAUUGUUCGACAAACCAGACAAGCACUUUGGCUGAAGCAUACAAACAGCUUAAAGCCAUUACCACUUGCUAGAAAAUCUAAAACUCUGGGCUUUGUGAGACAUUUGUCAAGGUUUUACCGGAACCACUUAUUGACCUUUUAGUUCAAGUCAAGAUCUUACCUUCCACAGCAGACGUAUUCUAGCGGGAUCACAAGACCACACAAAAAUCCAUCUUGUCAGGCUUGUCAACCACAAGUGUUUAGGAAAUCUGUGUCCUGUGAGUAGUUACGUGGAAAGUCGUACAGAGGUGAGCAUUGAUGCUGCAAUACUAUCAGGUCAAUCAGAACUUGAGAAUUGUCUUUCUUGUACUCGCUGGCCUCGGCAGGAGAUGUGAUAUGAUUGGUUGAAGUUAGCCUGUGAUGGAGGUUGGUAUAGAAAUGGUGUAUCCAAUAACCUGCCAAUUAUUUUCAGAAAGCUCCAGCCCUUUCCAACUGUUUCCAAUGAUUGCAUCUCAGAUAGUUCUUACUGAUGUGAUAUGCUAAAGUAAUUGCUAGUACAAAUCUUAAUUAUUUUGUCCCAGUCAGUGUCUUGGUGUCAAAAGUAAUGAUACUUUUCAUUUUCCCAUUAUACUUCUGAUAGCAAAGGCAAGUUCUACAGCUGACAGGUAUAGGAUUUGUCAUUAUGUCUGAGAUGUUAAGUGUGUUUGACAAUUUGGCAUAGACAAGUGGGCCUUUUCUGGUAUCUACCCCUGAGUCCUACAGCUGUAGGUGCAACCGAAAUGUGACCAGAGUAAGAAAUUACACCGCCACCAAAAUUGUUUGUAAAUGGGACUAAAUCCAUCUCAACUUACUUCUUCAUAUUUUAUUUUACUUUAGAUAGUGAUUGCUGAUCCUCAACCUACUUUUAAUGUUAAUCCAGAAUUGUUAUGCGCAGUUGUUCAGGCUAACAAAUCUUUAAAAUUAAAUUAAAGACUGAGAACACUUUUAGUUUUAGCCUUUUAUCAUAUUUCGCUAUCAGCUGUUUUCACUAAAAAUGUAAACAAACGAUUGAAAUUUAAAUCUUGUCUUGUCAUUAUUUCGUCUUAAUUAUUUUAGCGGCAGUGCUAAUUCAGCAGAAAUGUAUAAUUUUAUGUAGACUUUUUAUCAAAUUGUCCUAUUCCCUCUCCAAAAUAACUCAUAGCGCCUCUCCUUCUGCAUGACCCUUAUAUUGAUUACUUGUGAAAAUGAAGGAAUUAAACUUAACUUUAUUCAUACACUUAUGCUUAGUUUUGGUUAUGAGUUUAGGUAAAAUCAGCAUAAUAUCUUAUACUAUAUGUCAAAAGUCCAACUCAAAGUGCUAGCUCCUUAAAGUACCCUGAAAUAGGCUUUGUCAACUUCACACUGAGAUUGUACCAUGGAAUUUAAUUAACAUGCCUAUCUAUCUUUUGCAAUUAUAGUACACGGAAUAUUGAUGAGCAACAUCAAUAUGUAUUUGAGAUUUAUCGGACCAAAUAAUUGAGCUUGCCUUUUUAUUUACUUUCAAAAGUAUGUGCUUUUUACAGUAAAGCACAUGAAGAAAGUGGAACAAAAAUUGAGGCGAAGCAAUCAGCUGAUAAAUCUUCCUUUUUUUCUUUUUUCUGUUUCCCUAUCAGACGUUAAAGCCUGAUAACCACUGUAACCCCACCACAUCCCCCCUUAUCUUGCCCUUCACAUCUGUGUGUCUGCACAGCCGCGAUAAGCAAAUCAAUAUCCUGUCACUUCUCAUUUUUACUAGCCCAAUUCUGCUCUCUGCACCUUCCACAAGGUGAAGCUCCUGCCUCACGGUCGGGGCUGGACGAUCUCUUUGUAGAAUAUUGUCUCUCAAGCAACUCUCGAUAGGCACUCCGGAUAAGUAGAACGACACCAACAUGUUGGCGCUAAUGCAGCCAAGAUAGAGGCUUGGCGAUGCUGAACUUUCUUCCCCAUUCCCCAGAUCACUCUUUUCAGACAGCAAAGAGUUGUCUUGUAAGAUUCUUAAUGUUGUGUAUUAUUUCAUGCUGCAUUGAGAAUGCAAUGAACUCCUACCUGCCCAGACACUGGUGGGAUCACAGCAGCUCCGAUUCAAUUUCUGAGUUAAUAUCAACUGACCUUUCAAAAAUAAAAAUUGUGAUAAAUUAACCUUAAAGCUCCAACCAAAUAAUUAUCAAAAAAAUGUGUAACUGUAAAAUGUCACUGCAGUGAUUUGUGGGUAUGUAUGCAAUUCAUUUAUUUGGCAUUGAUUCAUUUCAAUCAUCACAUUAUAUGUUGGUGCUGAAGACUUAGGAGAUAAUGUUUGAGUCCAUGCUCUACGUUGUGCAUAUUAAAUAAAAUAGCUGUGCCCUUAGCAAUAUAUGCACAGCCCAGAGGGAGUUAUGGGUCUGAAAUCACUAAAAACUUCAGCGGUUCGCAGUACUUCAUGAUAGAUGUUAAAAUAAUCUUACAUUCAUUGGCAACAAAAGCAAUUCCAGGCAGCACGGGGGGUUUUGGCGAGCAGGACUAAAUAAUGUUGUUAGGGGUUACAACUAAAUCACUGGAGGUUUAGAAAAAGUUCUAGACACCAUCGGGGUUGCUGCUCUUUUAAAUAAAAGACUCUGCUCGUCUAACUUUAUGAAGUAAAAUACCAUGCCAAAUUAAAAGAUCUAUUUUCAUGCUACUGCAAAAAUAGUCACAAAGAAUAUUAAAAUAUGUGUUUGUUUAUCCAUCUUGUCAAGUUUCUUUCUGUAGCUCAGUGUGCAUACUCUCAUUGGGCAUUUUCCCAAAUGCUUUCUUUUUGCCAAAAGUAAGGUUGAAGAAAUAUGACAUGCCAUGUUCAAGGAUAAACAAAAAAUAAUGGAAAGCCCAAUCUUUUCCGAGGACAGCUAAUAUUAUAUAUAUAACAGGAGAAGAUCAAAUUAAUUUAUUUGGAGCCACUCAAGCUUGUUAUUAGCACAUUUCUUGUCAAUGGGCAGCUGAGAGAUUAGUUCAACAUCCAGUGCCCAAGGCAGUGUCAAAUAACAGCAGACCCUGAUAUGAUUUUUAAGCUUCGCCACUGAAAUUAGGGCUUUCAACAAUGAGUUUUUAAUGUUAUUUAUUUAUACAUUUUUUAUCAUUCUAAAUGAACUGUGGACCAGAAUUUUCUGUCACUCCAAAGAAUUGUUAUGUCCCCAACUUGAAAAUGGCGGUCAAGGAGUGAGCAAUGAAAUUAAAUGACAUAUGAAUUAAGCCAUGGAUCAUCACUGGCAAGACAAUGACAUCGACCAAAUGUGUAUCCUUCAGAUUACUUCUUAUCACUACCAAGACACACACAGGUGUUCUGUUUUGGGUGAAUGAACACCAGCAUCUGAAUGCACAUAGCAAAACACUUCAUGGCCAGUUUGGAAGUUUGGAACUGUAGGCUAAAUUGGAAUUGACAGCCAUGUGUAAUCACCUGCCGUUUUAGCUGGAGGUGGUUUGCCUCGACAGGGAAACAGCCUUGUCGAUAACAAACUCAGAACCAAAAGCCCCAUUAAACUCUAACCCUAAAUGGGGUUCCAGACAUUGUAGGAGAAAUAUAGUAGUUAUACAUUCCCCGGUGAACUCAUUUGGAAACUACACUGUUAUAAGGGCCAUGUUUGGGUUGGACAGUUGUUUUACCCUCAUGGUCGAAUCACUUAACUAGUUACCAAAGGAAAAUCGGAUAUACCUAUCUACUAAAAGUAGGUACUUUUUCCCUCUACUGUGAAACUAUCUUAAAGGACCCAUCGUAUGCCCAUUUCACCACAAGUUGAUAUGGUUCGUUGGGGUCUUAACAAAAUGUCUGUAACAUACUUUAGUCAAAAUACCACAAGGAUCAUUCAAAACAGCACCCUUUUCACCCUGUCUGCAACGGCCCACCACAGUGACCUGUUUUGAGUGCCUUCUGAGCGAGAUGCACGUGCCUAGCUGUUGCUUGCCUAGCUGUAGAAAUAUUGCUACUGCAGACGAAGAUAGAAUCCUGCAUUCAUAUCGUUUUCAACCAGAAUCAGACCCUGAACAAGAAGAGGCUCCCAAAAAAGUUCAAGGGCUCAACGGGACACUUCUGAAUGUAAAGAGGGAAGUGGGAUUCACGGCACUGCCAGAGGACGUCCUGUGAGUAAACGGGUAUGGCGUCGUAGGUGCAAGAAAACAAACAUCACCUGAAGUUGGGUAAUAUGGAGCGGCAUCAGUCCGAGUCAAGAAUCUGUCAGAUCGCAAGCGCUACCACCCUGACUGCUGUGUCAGUCCUUCGCUGAUGAAGAGCUGCUUGGUUCAGGUCGAAUGUGGAUCGGUCACAGUAAACGGUGAUGGAGACAAAGCGUUCAGCAGAUGGCCG
Gasterosteus aculeatus aculeatus (three-spined stickleback) is the source of this 11353-nucleotide long non-coding RNA. Lineage: Eukaryota; Metazoa; Chordata; Actinopteri; Perciformes; Gasterosteidae. The record is from Ensembl.